This 58-nucleotide transfer RNA is filed under the name Apaloderma vittatum (bar-tailed trogon). It matches the Rfam family "tRNA", at positions 8 to 63 of the family's 71-position model. Rfam says of the family: Transfer RNA (tRNA) molecules are approximately 80 nucleotides in length. Their secondary structure includes four short double-helical elements and three loops (D, anti-codon, and T loops). Lineage: Eukaryota; Metazoa; Chordata; Aves; Trogoniformes; Trogonidae. The record is from Rfam by way of RNAcentral.
UAGCUCAGUCAGUUGAGCGUGGCACUAACAACGCCAAGGUUGUGGGUUCGAUUCCCGU